AUGAGUGAUGCCAAGUUCCCCGAUGCACAAUCGGGCGCAGAGCACGCGAUGGCCAGCACCAUGGCCGGGCUGGCCGGGCUGAACAUGGUCUAUGAGGCGG
RNAcentral lists this non-coding RNA (100 nucleotides) under Pontivivens insulae. RNAcentral's name for it is "PYLIS_3". It matches the Rfam family "Pyrrolysine insertion sequence mttB". Lineage: Bacteria; Pseudomonadati; Pseudomonadota; Alphaproteobacteria; Rhodobacterales; Paracoccaceae. The record is from RNAcentral.